GACGAACGCUGGCGGCGUGCUUAACACAUGCAAGUCGAACGGAAAGGCCCUGCUUUUGUGGGGUGCUCGAGUGGCGAACGGGUGAGUAACACGUGAGUAACCUGCCCUUGACCUUGGGAUAACUUCAGGAAACUGGGGCUAAUACCGGAUAGGAGCUCCUGCUGCAUGGUGGGGGUUGGAAAGUUUCGGCGGUUGGGGAUGGACUCGCGGCUUAUCAGCUUGUUGGUGGGGUAGUGGCUUACCAAGGCUUUGACGGGUAGCCGGCCUGAGAGGGUGACCGGCCACAUUGGGACUGAGAUACGGCCCAGACUCCUACGGGAGGCAGCAGUGGGGAAUAUUGCACAAUGGGCGGAAGCCUGAUGCAGCAACGCCGCGUGCGGGAUGACAGCCUUCGGGUUGUAAACCGCUUUCGCCUGUGACGAAGCGUGAGUGACGGUAAUGGGUAAAGAAGCACCGGCUAACUACGUG
RNAcentral lists this ribosomal RNA (468 nucleotides) under uncultured bacterium. RNAcentral describes it as "partial 16S ribosomal RNA". It matches the Rfam family "Bacterial small subunit ribosomal RNA", at positions 28 to 507 of the family's 1533-position model. The record is from RNAcentral.